CAACCUAUAUUGUACGUUACACAAUUUAUUUAAACUUUUGGUCAUUGUCAUGUUGCAGCAGAUGUAUCUCAGACAAGAAUUAACGUUGUUGAAUCUAAUGAGGACUAUAUGAAAGAAGAGCCGAUCGAACAUCAUAAUUCUGUUGAAAAAGAUGUCGAAUCAUAUGAUGUCUAAGAAAUAACUACUAAUGAUAAAGAAUGUUUCACAGAUUGUGAUGAUGCUGAUGUAGAUGAAAAUGAAGAUGGUAAGUUUGCUCAUUCCUUAUUGAUUGCAAUAUAUGAUUAUUCAUCAUAGUAACAUAUAAUUCGUGGUUCAUAAUGGUGGCAGUGCACGACAACUAGAAAAAGGUUCUGCUGCACACAAGAACCAAGAAACUUAUUUUGAUCAGAAUUUCAGUACACGGCAAGGGAAAAUAAAUGUUGCUGCACACAAGGAACUGAAGUAUUCUUGAAGAGCCUGAAAAAUCACAACUAGGACGUAGCUCUUGGUACAAUUGUAAGUUGUGAUCCUAAAUUUAAACUUGAUGGUGCUGGAAUUAGAAAUGGAUUCUGGGCAGUGCAUGUCGAUAUGGCACUUGUGAAAACUGAAAAAUUGGUACGGAGUUGAAAAAACUGCAAUACUCUCGAUUCAAAAGAAAAUGGAUGACUAUAUGGUGUGUGGAAAGUAUAUUGCAAUGAUGAUGUUGAUGUUUCGGUUCAUGAUGAUGAUGAUGAUGGAUGCUUUCAGUUUUAGUUAAGUUGUAGGGAUGGCGUAUAUUGGAUGUUCUUCCUCCUUGAUUUUUAGUUAAGUUGUAUGGAUGCUUUCAAUGUAAGUUUUGUUGUCAAGAAAAUAGUCAGAUUAUGCAUCACAUUUGGAUGAUGUUCCUCCUGUAAUAUACACUAUUGUAAUCCAACAGUUCUAUCUAAUAUAUG
Long non-coding RNA from Triticum aestivum (bread wheat), 911 nucleotides. RefSeq lists it as uncharacterized. The record is from RefSeq and is a predicted model, not a curated record. Lineage: Eukaryota; Viridiplantae; Streptophyta; Magnoliopsida; Poales; Poaceae. The transcript is spliced from 4 exons.